This 253-nucleotide ribosomal RNA is filed under the name uncultured bacterium. RNAcentral's name for it is "partial 16S ribosomal RNA". It matches the Rfam family "Bacterial small subunit ribosomal RNA", at positions 524 to 776 of the family's 1533-position model. The record is from RNAcentral.
UACGUAGGGGGCUAGCGUUGUCCGGAAUCAUUGGGCGUAAAGCGCGUGUAGGCGGUCCGGUAAGUCCGCUGUGAAAGUCGGGGGCUCAACCCUCGGAUGCCGGUGGAUACUGUCGGGCUUGAGUACGGAAGAGGCGAGUGGAAUUCCUGGUGUAGCGGUGAAAUGCGCAGAUAUCAGGAGGAACACCAAUUGCGAAGGCAGCUCGCUGGGACGUUACUGACGCUUAGACGCGAAAGCGUGGGGAGCAAACAGG